UCUUCGGCCAAGUACAUUCGGCUAAUAUUUACAUAUUGUGCUUUACGUGAAAUACGUCAACAGAUUGAGAACGCAAACGACAUAAUCUACCAGUGCUGCAAAAAGUUCUCCAUCUCCAUCGCCUACUGCCAAAAAGACCAACAGCAUGUACAACCGGUAAAGUAAAUGUUACCAGUGGGAGUACAAGUAGAGGACAGGCAAGCCUGGUGGCUGUGCGGGGGUCUAUAAGAAGGACUGCUUCUCCCUGCUGUCCAGUCAUCCAGUGAAGUACUUCCGCCUGGGCAUCCCCCUGCUAGACCGGGACAACCUGGGCUUGGUGCUGUUACUGCGUCCCACGGGACCCUUCAGCCCAGAGGCCUGUGUGUGUGUGGCCAACACACACCUCCUUUAAAACCCUGGGCAUGGGGACAUUAAGCUGGCCCAGCUGGCUAUGCUGCUUGCAGAAAUCAGAACAGUGUCCCGCCUCUAUGACAGCAGCUCUUGUCCCAUCGUCCUCUAUGGGGACUUUAACUCUGUGUCCCCUCUGUACAAAUUUGUUAGGGAGAGUAGCCUGGAGUACGACGGCAUUCCCAUACGCGAGAUGUUGAUGGGUGUAUCUCCAACCUGUCUGUACAGGACUUUGAAGCACAAGCUAUGGCAACUAUGAACAGUGAGUCCAGACCCAGUAUAGAGCACAGUCUGAGGCUGACGUCAACCUACUCCCACUACCUGACAGAGGACGGCAGGCCUGAGAUCACCACCUGGAGACUGCAUGAAUCAGGCCUUCAUUGUCGAAUUGCUGCAAAGAAACCACUACUAAAGGAAACCAAUAAGAAGAAGAGACUUGCUUGGGCCAAG
Salvelinus namaycush (lake trout) is the source of this 837-nucleotide long non-coding RNA. RefSeq lists it as uncharacterized. The record is from RefSeq and is a predicted model, not a curated record. NCBI's taxonomy places the organism in Eukaryota, Metazoa, Chordata, Actinopteri, Salmoniformes, Salmonidae. The transcript is spliced from 4 exons.